GCCCCCAUAGCUCAGGGGAUAGAGCGACGGCCUCCGGAGCCGUGUGCGCAGGUUCGAAUCCUGCUGGGGGCG
This 72-nucleotide transfer RNA is filed under the name Streptosporangiaceae bacterium. RNAcentral describes it as "tRNA-Arg". It matches the Rfam family "tRNA". From Rfam's summary of the family: Transfer RNA (tRNA) molecules are approximately 80 nucleotides in length. Their secondary structure includes four short double-helical elements and three loops (D, anti-codon, and T loops). RNAcentral also lists the same sequence under 2 other names. Lineage: Bacteria; Bacillati; Actinomycetota; Actinomycetes; Streptosporangiales; Streptosporangiaceae. The record is from RNAcentral.